GUCUUUAUGGAGGUUUAUAAAGUCUAACCUGCCCNUUGGGAACUAAAAGGCCGCGGUAUUAUGACCGUGCAAAGGUAGCAUAAUCAUUAGUUUUUUAAUUGAAGGCUAGAAUGAAUGGUUGGACAAGAAAUAAUCUGUCUUAAAUUAAUAUAUUGAAUUUAACUUUUAAGUGAAAAGGCUUAAAUAAUCUGGAGGGACGAUAAGACCCUAUAAAACUUUAUAUUUAUAAUAUAGUAGUUAGUUUUAUUUAAGGGUAUUAUUUUAGAGUAUUUGGUUGGGGUGACAAGGAUAAAAUAUUAAAUAACUGUCUUUUUUUUUUUACAGUGAUGUUUGGUUUAAUGAUCCUAAAAGGGAUUAAAGAUUAAGUUACUUUAGGGAUAACAGCGUAAUUUUCUUUAAGAGUUCUUAUCGACAAGAAAGUUUGCGACCUCGAUGUUGAAUUAAAAGUUCUUUAUAGAGUAGAGACUAUAAUAGAAGGUCUGUUCGACCUUUAAAAUUUUACAUGAUUUGAGUUCAAACCGG
RNAcentral lists this ribosomal RNA (522 nucleotides) under Procambarus clarkii (red swamp crayfish). RNAcentral describes it as "partial 16S ribosomal RNA". It matches the Rfam family "Bacterial large subunit ribosomal RNA", at positions 1831 to 2619 of the family's 2925-position model. Lineage: Eukaryota; Metazoa; Arthropoda; Malacostraca; Decapoda; Cambaridae. The record is from RNAcentral.